This is a non-coding RNA of Neofelis nebulosa (Clouded leopard), 855 nucleotides long. NCBI's taxonomy places the organism in Eukaryota, Metazoa, Chordata, Mammalia, Carnivora, Felidae. The record is from the annotation of a RefSeq genome assembly.
GUCAUGCUCUCAUAGUUUGUGAGUUCGAGCCCCGCGUUGGGCUCUGUGCUAGGAGCCUGGAGCCUCCUUCAGAUUCUGUGUCUCCUCCUCUCUCUGCCCCUCCCAUGCUCAUGCUCUGUCUCUCUCUUUCUCUCAAUAAUAAAACAAAUGUCAAACAAAAUUUUUUUUAAAGAAAAAUUAGAGUCUGUCAUUGUCUCAAAGGAAACCCUGCCACUUCCAGCCACCACCCAAGGUCCUACUCUCCUCUCCGAGAUUGGGGCAUAUCAGAAAUAAAUUUGCCGGCUCCCUGUCUCUUUUAUUUUCAUCCCAGAAUAGAAGGACUCAGAAAACAUUUCACAUUUUCACAUUUUCAUUUAAAUGAUACAACCAAAGUCCUAUUUUCUGAAAGGGAGACCAGAAAGUGUUAGGAAAACUUUCCUCAGUGAGACAUAAUCAGCCACCCACCUGUCAGAUCAUUUCCUGCUCUGAAACAGAAGUGCCGUGGAGCACAGAACAUCCAGCUGAGAGCCAGAGCCUCUUCUCACCCUGCAGGGAACGGCUGUCAGCAUGCUGCUGGCCCGUGUGCUGUGGGCAGUCGUGGUGUCCACCUGUCUUGGAUCCAGCAUGGCCCAGAAGGUCACCCAGACUCAACCAGAAAUGUCUGUGCACGAGGCAGAGACCGUGACCCUGGACUGCACGUUUGACACUCGUAAGGCAGACAAAUCCUUCAGUCUCAGGAUCUCAGCCGCCCAGCUGGGGGAUGCUGCGAUGUAUUUGUGUGCUCUCAUGGAGGGCACAGUGACAGGAGCAACAGAGAGAGGUUUACAGAAACCUCAGACCUCAGCAUCUGUGCAGAGGUCGGGGUGGGAGGAGUGA